This 460-nucleotide ribosomal RNA is filed under the name uncultured bacterium. RNAcentral's name for it is "partial 16S ribosomal RNA". It matches the Rfam family "Bacterial small subunit ribosomal RNA", at positions 338 to 795 of the family's 1533-position model. The record is from RNAcentral.
CCUACGGGAGGCAGCAGUGAGGAAUAUUGGUCAAUGGACGAGAGUCUGAACCAGCAACGUAGCGUGAAGGAUGACUGCCCUAUGGGUUGUAAACUUCUUUUAUAUGGGAGUAAAAUGUUCCACGUGUGGGAUUUUGUAUGUACCCUAUGAAUAAGGCUCGGCUAACUCCGUGCCAGCAGCCGCGGUAAUACGGAGGAUCCGAGCGUUAUCCGGAUUUAUUGGGUGUAAAGGUAGAGUAGGUGGAUUGUUAAGUCAGUUGUGAAAGUCUGCGGCUCAACCGUAAAAUUGCAGAUGAAACUGGCAGUCUUGAGUACAGGAGAGGUGGGCGGAAUUCGUGGUGUAGCGGUGAAAUGCGUAGAUAUCACGAAGAACUCCGAUUGCGAAGGCAGUUCACUGGACUGCAACUGACACUGAGGCUCGAAAGUGUGGGUAUCAAACAGGAUUAGAUACCCGGGUAGUC